Panicum hallii is the source of this 1638-nucleotide RNA transcript. RefSeq lists it as uncharacterized. The transcript has 16 exons. NCBI's taxonomy places the organism in Eukaryota, Viridiplantae, Streptophyta, Magnoliopsida, Poales, Poaceae. The record is from RefSeq and is a predicted model, not a curated record.
ACUUGGCGCUCAAUCACGAUUCACAAAUCAGUUUUCGACGCGCAGGAUGAGUGCAUCACUGUUCACCCGUCAACCAGAGCCACGCCAACCACCGGCUCCACUACAACCAGUGAUCCCUAAUCGCCGCGCAGCAUGAGUCUGCAUCACUGUUCACCCUCAACUGGAGCCAGGCCACGCCAACUCCACCGGGGGAACCGCGAGAGAGACAGAGAGGGAGACGUCGCGCUAGGCCGCUAGCGCCCGCCGGAGGCAGAUCGACCCGGGACCUGCCGCCGCCCGACCUCGCGAUGCAGCAGCAGCGGCCGCCGUCCGUCCGCGCCGUCACCAUCCCCUUCGCCGACCUGGAGGAUAAGGGCAAGGACCUGAGCGGCAAGAUCGGGGGUGGCUUCGGGCGCCAAGGGCUCGGCAUCGUCUCCAUCGCCGACGUUCCUGGUUAUCCGGAGCUCAGGAAAAGGCUACUGCGCCUGGCGCCAAGGGUUGCAAACCUUCCUGAAGAAGUGAAGAGAGGACUGGAAGACCCAAAUAGCAGAUAUAACUUCGGUUGGAGCCAUGGGAAACAGAAAUUUGAGUCUGGCAAAUUUGACACAUUCAAAGGCUCGUAUUUUGCCAACCCAUUAUUUGAUGUCCCUACCACUGACGAUGUGCUUUUAACUAGAUUCCCAUCAUACUGCCGACCAAACAUAUGGCCAACUGGUGAUCUUCCUGAGCUUGAAACAGCAUUCAAAGACCUUGGAAAGUUGAUGCUAGAAGUUGGCUUGAUGUUGGCUCAUCACUGUGAUCACUAUGUAAUGAAUCAAGGAGUGGGACAAUAUAUUGGUGAAAGCCUUGGACAGACUCUUGCUCGCUCAAGGUGUCAUAAGGGUCGUCUGCUGUACUAUUUUCCCAAAAAGUUUAGCAAACAGAAAGAUGGUCAAUCUAUUUCGUCCUGGUGUGGAUGGCAUACUGACUAUGCAUCUUUGACAGGGCUUACAUGUGGCUUGUUCGUGAGAAAAUCUGUGGAGAUUCCUUGUCCUGAUAGUGGAGCUGGGCUACACAUCCGAUCUCGUGAUAAUCAAGUUGUUAAGGUUACAUUUGAGGAUGAUGAAUUGGCCUACAUGACUGGGGAAACUGCUGAAAUACUAUCAAGAGGUCACCUACAUGCAACCCCACACUGUGUGAAGGCGCCCAGCAGCGAAGAUGCUUCGCUUGUUGACCGCUCGACUUUUGCGCUGUUCGUGCAGCCAAAUUGGUCUUUAUUAUCAGUCAAACAGUUUUAGUCCAGCGCACCUGAUUGAUAUUCCAAGGUCAGGGACGGACGUGCGGUAGAUGGAACAGCUAGGCCCAGUUUGUAUAGGCUGGGAUGAGAAGAUCAAGUUUCCAAGUGGAUUCCCUUAUCACCAAGAGCUGUCGAUUCCACCGAACGAAACACUUGCGUACGGGGAGUACUCAGAGAGGAUACUGAACAAGCAUUACGAGGAGGCAAGAACGUGAAGCAAAGCAAUGUGAUCUCGCAAUACACACUGUAAUAGUAUAGCCAAUGAGCGAAUGCCGAAACUGUGCAGAAGCAAACUGAAGUGAGGUGAAUCACCGCUCACAACAAUGUACCAACAAAACACAAACCCGUGAUAUCUGAUGUACUUCCUCCCAAAUUGUUGUUCA